Non-coding RNA from Salvia hispanica, 931 nucleotides. The record is from RefSeq and is a predicted model, not a curated record. Lineage: Eukaryota; Viridiplantae; Streptophyta; Magnoliopsida; Lamiales; Lamiaceae.
CUCUCCCACCCACCAUAGCCUCAUUAAACUCUCCAAUCCACCGCCUCCCUCCAUGAAUUAAUUUCGGUCACUACCCACUGCCUUUAUCCCCUUCCCAAAACCCUAAUUUUGGUAGGUUUGCGAUGCCGGAAGAUCCCGACUCCUGUCCUUAUUUUUCCUUCGACGAUCUGAACGACCUCGUCGUCCCAGACACACCAGAGCAUCUAUGGCCCUCCCAUCCCUCCAUCUUCGGCCGCUAUCCUGUCCGAGCACCCUAUCCAGUCGGAAACUUGACCGACACCGUUGUCUCUGAAACGGAACCCGAAUUCCUCCCCAAAUGUGAGAUGUUUGAGUACUUUGGGGGUGAAAGCCCAUUCUAUGGUCCACCGCCACCAGAAACCCCACCACCACCAGCCACCUCCGUCGACAUACCUCAAGCCUCCCUCAUCGUGUAUUUGGAUGUGGAGAAGGAAAUGUUUGCAAUAUUGCUGCUUUUGGAUCUAAACUAAUCUAAUUUUGCCUCUGCCCAUAUUCGGUGGACUGUCUUCCGGCUGACUCCAAACUGUUUUGCUGCCUUUUCAAUAGCUCCAUAUGGUACUUCUCCUGCCUGGCUCGAUUGCAACAGACUUUGAGCUAGCAGAUUUUUGGUGGUGUUUGGUAUUAUGCGUGAGUCUCUUCGAGCAGGCUCCUCCAUAGCCCAGUGAUGAAAUUUUUCUGAGGGCACUAGUUCUAAAAAUCUCCAUUUGUAGUUGUAUCUAUUCCUUUUAUAGAUAGGUAUAGAUAGGUGUAGCUUGAAUUUUCCUCCAUUGUUGUGUGUAUGAAAUGGUGUUCCCUCCAUUAGUUUGAAUUAAUUUCCCUCCUAAGUGUGGUAGGUUGUUGGAAAAUUCCCUCUCAAAAUGUAUGGAAUUAGGGUGGCAGCACCUAUUUUUUGAAACAAAGGCCUAUUUGGAGU